AUUCUAGAGCUAAUACAUGCUUUCAAGCCCGACUCUUAGGAAGGGCUGUAUUUAUUAGAUAACAAACCAAUAUUCCUUGCGUCUAUUGUGAUGACUCAUAAUAACUGAUCGAAUCGCAUGGACCUUGUCCGCGAUACGUCAUUCAAGUUUCUGCCCCAUCAGCUUUCGAUGGUAGUGUAUUGGACUACCAUGGCUUUAACGGGUAACGGAGGAUUAGGGUUCGAUUCCGGAGAGGGAGCCUGAGAAACGGCUACCACAUCUAAGGAAGGCAGCAGGCGCGUAAAUUACCCAAUCCUGACUCAGGGAGGUAGUG
RNAcentral lists this ribosomal RNA (313 nucleotides) under uncultured Spirotrichea. RNAcentral's name for it is "SSU rRNA". It matches the Rfam family "Eukaryotic small subunit ribosomal RNA", at positions 155 to 469 of the family's 1831-position model. Lineage: Eukaryota; Ciliophora; Spirotrichea. The record is from RNAcentral.